UUAACUCAAAUUUCUAUGGAUUUGGAACUUUUGCCUACGUUUGCCGCUAGGGGCGCUGUUCUAAUUACAUACAAAUUUGAGUUA
Non-coding RNA from Bombyx mori (domestic silkworm), 84 nucleotides. The record is from Rfam. NCBI's taxonomy places the organism in Eukaryota, Metazoa, Arthropoda, Insecta, Lepidoptera, Bombycidae.